Molecule: non-coding RNA, 2826 nt
Organism: Rattus norvegicus (Norway rat)
Lineage: Eukaryota; Metazoa; Chordata; Mammalia; Rodentia; Muridae
Source: RefSeq, a predicted model, not a curated record
AGCAGCGUGUUGUCCUGAGAGAGUGUAGGGCUGCUGCCUCCAAGUUCUCAGAGAAGGUGCACAGCCUGGGGCAACCUACUUUAACUGCAGCCUUCUCGGCUGUGGAGAAGACAGAGCAUUCCUCCCUGCUUCAGAAGAGAGCUGGGCUUAGUAAUUAGUUUGUAUUUCAAAGUGCUUCACAACUGGGAAGUUUCACUAUUGAAUUAAGGAAGUUCCCCUUUCGUCCUCUCCCCACCACGUCAAGAAGAAAGAAACUGUGCUCACUGGAGCUGUAAGAAAAACAGAGGCAAUCCGGGGUUGGGGAGGGGGGCACUGACAAACCUGACUUCAAGGUAGUGGCUCAUUUCUGACAGUAAGAAGACACCCAUUAAAAGGAGCUUUGCAAGUUGAGAGUCUUGAAGGGCACCCAAACCUGCUCCCACAAGACGCACAUUUGUUUUAGACUUAACUUUUAUGAGCUGUUCAAGGAAAAGAAGGAGAGAAAGAAAAUACGGCAGGUUACACCGUUGGUAGGGAAUUUGAAAGAGAGAGCUGGUACACACUGCAUCAUGCUUUCUUACUGGAGAACCGGGUUGGAUCUCAAGUUAUCCCCACCUCUGGACGAAUCUAUGUUCCUUUUUCCAGCGUAUCUCUGCCUGCUUCCAUCCUCACCAUGGUCAUAUGACAAGUCUUCGCCCUGGAGAAUGAACGGAAGUGGAGUUUCUGGGAAGUGGCUUUGCCUGCUCAACUACCCAGGAGGACUGGAAAUGACUCUAAAGAUGUAGAAAGGCCAAGCCCCAAGAGAGAUGUCUGACUCCUCUGUGACUGCAGAGAGAAUGCCUUCUUCAGAUAAGCACAUCUUUGGCCUCUUCUGUGAGAAAUAGUUUCUGUUAAGACGCCGGAAUGCUGGUUUAUUGUCCCAGCCGCUAUUGUUCCCCAAAUUGUAGUUGCCUUUUGCAUGCCAGACCUUUAGGACUCACCGGUAUCCGGUGCCGUGAAUGGUAUGUAAGUAUAAUAUUGAUGCGGGCAUGCAUUUUGUAGGUCUCUCUCUCCUUUUAGUUGCAUAAUUUAGUUUUAUUGGUUUCACAGACUCAUGUGAAAGGAGGAGGGAGGGACGGUAGAACCAAUGUGGACAUAUCUAGUCAUUCACUUAUUUUCUUUCAUGUUUUGGAACUCAGCAAGCACGCUCCCCUCCCCCACUCCCGCCCUCCCAUUAACCAAGGAGGAGGAGAAGAAGAAUAUUGCUACUUUCUUCAUAGACUUCUAAGAGAAUGGAUACAAUGCCUUGAAGGAAGUGCCAGCUAGGGGAAAGCAGUACCUUAGAGUAAGCAAUCCUCAUAUCAUUGCCCAAGAGAGCUGGGCCAUGGCCAAUAUCUCCAUCAGCGACUUGAAAGAGUUGUCUGUCUUCCCAACACAAUAAAACUGGAGACAUGAGCUCCUGCAGCCCCAGCCAACACCAUCAGGGGAAGCCAAAGCUCAUCGUCACAUGCAGGUCUUAGGAUUUAUGGCUGACGGGGGAGGGAAAAUAGAGGCAGAUACUUAAGUUGGCUGAAUUCAUCAGUCACAAAAUUAAUAUAGAGAAUAUUAGAUAUAGAGAAUUGUAGAUAUUCAACUUUUGUCUAAUGAACUUUUCAGCAAUUGAGGAAAACACAGACGCCAACACCUUUUUUUUUUUUUUUGGUUCUUUUUUUUGGAGCUGGGGACCGAACCCAGGGCCUUGCGCUUCCUAGGCAAGCGCUCUACCACUGAGCUAAAUCCCCAACCCAACACCUUUUUUAAAAAGAAAAGAAAAACAACAAAACCUGCCCGUUUUCUCUAGGUUGAGUGGCGAUUCUAUUUUGUCAGUUUCCUGCAUUUGAGAGAGAACUUCUGGCCUGUGGCGACGUGAGGGCAGGUGUGUAUUUGCUGCUGAUAUCUGUUGACCCAGGUAUCUCUCAAUGAGGUUAAAACCAUUCUCUUUCGGGGGACCCUGUGAAGAUGCCACUGGGUGGGGUGCUCCUUCCUCUGCUGAGGUCUCCCCUACCCGGAACAGCACACCGUUGCCUUGUUAUAGCUAUGCUCUAGAACAUCCACCCUAAUACCAAGGGAGAGCCAUACUGCUUCCGGCCCGGAACUCAAAACACCGUGUGACGGAGUCACGAUUUCAAGUGAUGAAAAUUCGUCACCCUGUUUGUGACACCAGUUCCAUGAAAGGCAAUGAAAACUCAAGUUAGUGUGGUUUGGGUCUAACGUUGCAAAGUUGAAAUUAUCCGCCUGCAUGUUAGUGAAGCCACUGGCUUUUGACUGUUUAAAGAUUGUGUUUUAUGUUAGGACUGUUGUGCUUGCACACGUAUGUGUGCCACUAGUAUGCAAUGCCUGAAGAGACCAGAAGGGGGCGUCAGAUCCUCUGGAACUAGAGAUACAGGGCGUUGUACCCUGUGGAUGCUGAAAUCCAAACCUAGACCUCCCGGAAGAGCAGCUAGUGCUCUUAACCACUGUGCCAUCUCUCCAGCCCAAAAGUCCCUGUUGGGCUGUUCAUUAGAAUCAAGUUUCCAGCCUUUAGCAUCUACAGGGUGAAAAGACCAUUUGACAGGGCAAGGUAGGACUACGUGAUCCUCCAAAGUCAAGACUCAUCUUAAUUCUGAUGAUGCUUGGGCCAGCUCCCCAAAUCCUGAGGAUGUGAGUUUGUUUCCAGACUGCCGAAAACAGACCCAUUUUAUGAUGUUUAUCUUUCCACAGUGAAGUGUACCUUAGGAAGGUGUGUGUGUGUGUGUGUGUGUGUGUGUGUGUGUGUGUGUGUGUGUUUCCUACAUUUUUUUAAUGAUUUGGGUUUUUGAAUAAAAUAACAUUCACGUUUUCUUUCCUCUC